This 524-nucleotide ribosomal RNA is filed under the name Sporisorium sp. DMKU-SP397. Its description in RNAcentral is "LSU rRNA". It matches the Rfam family "Eukaryotic large subunit ribosomal RNA", at positions 133 to 638 of the family's 3401-position model. The record is from RNAcentral. Lineage: Eukaryota; Fungi; Basidiomycota; Ustilaginomycetes; Ustilaginales; Ustilaginaceae.
GGCGUCCGCAUUGUAAUCUCAAGAAGUGUUUUCCGCUUCGGACCAUGCCUAAGUCCCUUGGAAAAGGGCAUCAUAGAGGGUGAUAAUCCCGUACAUGGCAUGGAGCGCCCGAGGCUUUGUGAUACGCUUUCUAAGAGUCGAGUUGUUUGGGAAUGCAGCUCUAAAUGGGUGGUAAAUGCCAUCUAAGGCUAAAUAUUGGGGAGAGACCGAUAGCGAACAAGUACAGUGAUGGAAAGAUGAAAAGAACUUUGAAAUGAGAGUUAAACAGUACGUGAAAUUGCCAAAAGGGAAGGGUAGGAGGUCAGAGAUGCGUCUUGGGAUUCAGCCUUGCUUUUGCUUGGUGUUUUUCCCAAGUUGCAGGCCAACGUCGGAUUUGGGCACUGGAGAAGGGUGGAAGGAACGUGGCACCUCUCGGGGUGUGUUAUAGCCUUCUACUGGAUACAGCGACCGAGACCGAGGACAGCAGCGUACUCGCAAGAGCGGGCCUUCGGGCACCUUUACGCUUAGGGCGUUGGCAUAAUGGC